GUGUCAGCAGCCGCGGUAAUACGUAGGGGGCAAGCGUUGUCCGGAUUUAUUGGGCGUAAAGAGCGUGUAGGCGGCCAUACAGGUCUGCUGUGAAAACUCGAGGCUCAACCUCGAGCUGUCGGUGGAAACCGUAUGGCUAGAGUCCGGAAGAGGAGAGUGGAAUUCCCGGUGUAGCGGUGAAAUGCGCAGAUAUCGGGAAGAACACCCGUGGCUAAGGCGGCUCUCUAGUACGGUACUGACGCUGAGACGCGAAAGCGUGGGGAGCGAACAGGAUUAGAUACCCUUGUAGUCC
This 292-nucleotide ribosomal RNA is filed under the name uncultured bacterium. RNAcentral's name for it is "partial 16S ribosomal RNA". It matches the Rfam family "Bacterial small subunit ribosomal RNA", at positions 505 to 796 of the family's 1533-position model. The record is from RNAcentral.